Molecule: ribosomal RNA, 498 nt
Filed under: uncultured bacterium
Lineage: Bacteria
Description: partial 16S ribosomal RNA
Rfam family: Bacterial small subunit ribosomal RNA
Source: RNAcentral
AUUGAACGCUGGCGGCAUGCCUUACACAUGCAAGUCGAACGGCAGCGGACCUUCGGGUGCCGGCGAGUGGCGAACGGGUGAGUAAAGUAUCGGAACGUACCUUUCAGUGGGGGAUAACGUAGCGAAAGUUACGCUAAUACCGCAUAUUCUGUGAGCAGGAAAGCAGGGGAUCGCAAGACCUUGCGCUGAUUGCGCGGCCGAUAUCAGAUUAGCUCGUUGGUGAGGGAAAGGCUCACCAAGGCGACGAUCUGUAGCGGGGCUGAGAGGAUGAUCCGCCAAACUGGAACUGAGAAACGGUCCAGACUCCGACGGGAGGCAGCAGUGGGGAAUUUUGGACAAUGGGGGCAACCCUGAUCCAGCCAUGCCGCGUGAGUGAAGAAGGCCUUCGGGCUGUAAAGCUCUUUCGGCCGGGAAGAAAUCGCACAGGUUAUUACCCUGUGUGGAUGACGGUACCGGAAUAAGAAGCACCGGCUAACUACGUGCCAGCCGCCGCAGUAA